RNAcentral lists this ribosomal RNA (253 nucleotides) under uncultured bacterium. RNAcentral's name for it is "partial 16S ribosomal RNA". It matches the Rfam family "Bacterial small subunit ribosomal RNA", at positions 524 to 776 of the family's 1533-position model. The record is from RNAcentral.
UACGAAAGGUGCAAGCGUUACUCGGAAUUACUGGGCGUAAAGCGUGCGUAGGUGGUUUGUUAAGUCUGUUGUGAAAGCCCCGGGCUCAACCUGGGAAUGGCAAUGGAUACUGGCAAGCUAGAGUGCGGUAGAGGGUAGUGGAAUUCCCGGUGUAGCGGUGAAAUGCGUAGAGAUCGGGAGGAACACCAGUGGCGAAGGCGGCUACCUGGACCAGCACUGACACUGAGGCACGAAAGCGUGGGGAGCAAACAGG